Molecule: long non-coding RNA, 4854 nt
Filed under: Homo sapiens (human)
Lineage: Eukaryota; Metazoa; Chordata; Mammalia; Primates; Hominidae
Description: HSALNT0107848
Source: RNAcentral
GCGAACCACACAAAUUUCCUGUUCAAGAAAAUAACAAAUAAUUGUUUAAGGUAAUAAGCUAAAGAGUAGCUUGGUUUUAAAACUAUUUCUCAAUUAGUAAUAAUCUAUUGAACUUUAUAAUGAUGGUACCAAAUAACGUGGUUUACCAACUUAAAUACAGAAGAGAAUAUUAAAAGCAAGUAACUCUUAAGAAAAGAUCUUUACUGAUCCAUUGAUGGAUUUAUCUGAUAGCUUACAUUUCUUACGGAAACAUAAGAAAUGGAGUCCAAAGGUGAUUAAUGACUUUUUUGAAGGUGACAGAUACAACUUGUCAGUGGCAGAGAUGAUACUGAAACCCAAGUCUUCUAAUAUCUACACUAUAUCCUGAUUUCCAAUGCUGUAACCUCCACAAAGGGCUGCUUAUGUUCUUGAACCACUGGGAACUAAAAGCACCCAACACUUCCACCCUACCAUACAUUUAUAUACACAAACAGACAAAUCUACUAAUAAUCCAGUUACUAGGCACUGAAUUUAGAAAUAAAAAGGGCUGGAUGAAGAGACCUUAAAUACAUAUAGACCGUAAAUUUUGUAAAGUAAUUUGGCUUAGGAAUUUUCUUGCUUGCCUCUAGGUUUUGUUUCAGAUAGAAAAGACAGUCCUAAUUUGUUAUUAAUUUGGUAGUGUUCAACAACAAUGUUUUUUUUCAUGAUGGUAUAUGGCCGAAAUGGGAGAGCCAGAUUUGCUGCAAAGCCUAAAACUGAUACAAGCUCCUAAGGAAAACAUGUGAAUGAGCUGAAAUAUGACUCUCUUAUAAAAUGUGUGUCAUCUAAACUGCCCUCUUUUAGAGUAAAAAUCACCAUACAUAUGUUAGUAACAACUAUUACAGAGUGUUUAAAUCUGUUAAAUUGGAACAUACUAUAAAGUGUUGGGCAGUAAUAUAUGUGUGGAUUCAAGAGUGAUUCUCAAAAUGCCCAAGAGUAAUACUUCUCAUUUUUAUUAGUGCUUUAAAGUUUAUUUGUAUUUUAACACUGUAUCAAUUUAAAUUCUAAAAAUCUAUACUGGAACAAAAUAUUCUUUUCAGCUUAAGAUUAUCCAUUUUGGAUCAUUCCAAAGAAAAGCUAGAGACUUCUGAAAAAGAGGCAAAAAAGUAACAUUUAUUCAUUCAAGAUUUAUUUAUCGAAUGACUGUUAAUAUACUAGGUACUAUCACAUCCCGUGGAGGGAAAAACAAUUUCUUCUAAUGAUUAAAUUUUCCUCUGUAGUAAUAUUCUAUAAGUUAAAAAAAGAAAAGAAAAUGUAGAGAGAAAAAGGAAAAGGAGAAAUAUUAUUGUGAUAGAGCCAUUUCGCAGUAUCUUUUCUCCUUUCCUCCUAUUACUAAUAAGAAGCCCUUAACUUUUAGCUGGGCACAUGGCCAUCCAAUAAAGAUUACAUUUCCCAGCCUCCCUAGCAGCUAUGUAUGGAUGGCUAUGUGACUAGGUUCUUUCCAAUGGAAGUUAAUGACUGCAAUUUGCCUUUCAAACAACUAGACAGGUAUUCCUCAUUUACUCCUAUUUGGUAUGUUUGACUGCUGAGGACAACACUCCAAUCAACUUCUGUAUUUUUUGAGUCACUAUAUUUUAGAUUCUCUUUUUUGCAAUAGCUUAGCUGUGCCCUAACUCAAACACUUGUCUGUAAUAGAAGCAAGGCAAAAUUCCAGGGUGAAUUUCAAUACUUACUCUAAAACAUUUCUUCUAAAACAUUAACAGAAGCCACAAAGAGAGCAUCCCAGGAGAGGAAAAAAAAAAAAUGCUGUACUGUUGACAGCCUCAGCAAAUGGCUUUUGUUCAGUUUUGUGAGGUAUAUUACAUAGACUUAAAAUGUGUAUUGCCUCCUUUCCCCAGGAGACUUUGCACCCUUGCAUAAGAAUUCUAAACUGUUUACUUUCUAAACAUUUUCCCAUGCUGGUAUAGUGAAAAAAGUUUUCCUCACCUUGGUUCCUGAUGCUUUUAUUUUUUCCACAUAAUCCCAAACUGUCUGAGGUGAUAUCCUGCCACCUACUUGAAUACUAUCUGGUAGGUCCUAUGGUUAAAAAAAAAAAAAAGAGAUCAAUAUAUAUAGAUUAUCUUUAUUAUGACAUUAGUAAUUCAUACAAAUUUGAUUCUAAGACUAAUUUGAAACAGUAAUAAAAACAAGUAAAUAAAGAGAUUAUGAAAAAUGCAUCGGAAAACAGAAUACAGAGAGCAAUUAGGUUUUACUUGAAAUGCCAACUACAAAUGACUGUUGCCUAAAAUACAGCUACUAAGAAAGAGUCUGAGUUCAUGCCCAAUCUCACUAUGAAAGAUGGGAAAGGGAAGCAAUGGCAAGCAUACCACAUUAACAAUUCAGAAAGAACACAACACAUUUCAGAAUAUUAGCAGAGAUUGUAACCUCCCCUUUUGGUAGCAGUAGGCAGGAAAAUUCCUUAAUAAUUAACAGCUGAAUUUCAAAGGUUACCAAAUGUAAUUACAGAGUGUAUUUUUGCACAAAGGAGAAUAAUAUUGUAAUAAUUCAAGGUUUAUUUUUUUAAAGGCAUAAUCUUUCUGAAAACAGAUGACUACACAUGAAAGCAAUUAAGAAUAUUUAAAACUUUAUUCAGUACAUUCCUAUUUUUUCCACGAAGACUGAGGAAAAUCAUAAAAACAUAAUUGAUAUUAAAUUCAAUUUAGUUUAUUUAAAUUAUUAACUACUUUAAAAUAUUUGAUUUGGGAUUUCAGUCCAAACUAAAAACAAGUACAAAACGGAAGUGAAAAUCUGGAAAGCAACCACAUAAAAACUGUGUCUCGGAGGGGAAAAUAAUAAUCUUGUUUAAAAUCAAAAGGAUUUUGUAGUUAAGGGCUUACCUCUCCGUUUAAAGAAUUAUCUUCACCAUGGACUGACCAAAUAAUAAAUUUCUAAACAGAUUUGCUCAAGAAGAACAUCAUGGAUCUAAUUCAUUUUUCUCUUAUAAAGCUCACAUUUUUAAAAUAUCAAGCAAACUGUAUAUAAAAGUGAUUAGUCUGUUUAUUAAUCGAAAACACACUGCUAGGCUGGGCCCGGUGGCUCACAUCUGUAAUCCCAGUAUUCUGGGAGGCAGAGGCAAGCAGAUCACUUGAGGGCAGUAGUUCAGAACCGGCCUGGCUAACAUGGUGAAGCCCCGUUUCUACUAAAAAUACAAAAAUUAGCCAGGUGUGGUAGCACACAUCUGUUAAUCCCAGCUACAUGGGAGGCUGAGACAGGAGAAUGGUUGAACCCGGGAGGCAGACAUUGCAGCAAGCCAAGAUCACGCCACUGCACUCCAGCCAGGGCGACAGGGCAGACUCUGUCUCAAAACAAAAACAAAAACAAAAACAAAAACAAAAACAAACCCACAACUGCUAACCAAAUAAACUGAUCAAUAUUACAUAAACAGUAUUACAUUGAAUUAAACUAAUUGCAGCCUAAUCCAAAGAAAAGUGAAGUUUAUGUUAGCCUUAAAAAAAAAAAAAAGACAGGCAAAUGAUUUAGGCUUUUUCAAAUAAUAAAAGGAAUUUUUUUACAAUCUUUUAAUUCUUUAAAAUCAGCAGAUAGAGAAUAAAUGAAAAAGGUCAGAUACGAACAAGAUAGCAAAAUAUGAUCUCAACAUAAAUACAGUAUAUAUGUACUGAUUUAUUUUCCUUCUAUACACAUAUAAAAAUACAUUUCCUUCAAAAUAAUUCAAAAAUGUCACUGUCUCAUUUAUCACAAUAUUAUAAUGUUACUGCUGCUUAUUUUCCAUAAAUACCACAUAAUAGUUUCUUUCUAUUUCCCUCAGGUGUAGAACCAACCAAGGGUAUCACUUGCAGCAACUACAGUCACUAGUCUCACUGGUUUUCAACUAGCUGUAAAGCUUCAACUCCCAGUCUACAUAAACCACAUUCACAGAAAUAGGCAGAUCCUUCUGGCUUCUCCAAUGACUUAUUGGCGGCUGGUUCCUAACGCUUGGAGGAAACUGCAGAGCAAAAAACCACCUGCAAGAAAGAAACCUGAAAGAAACCUGAGGGAGGCCGGGUGCCGCAGCUCACGCCUGUAAUGCCAGCACUUUGGGAGGGCAAGUCAGGAGGAUCACAAGGUCAGGAGUUUGGGACCAGCCUGGCCAAAAUGGUGAAACCCCGUCUCUACUAAAAAUACAAAAAUUAGCUGGGCGUGGCGGCGUGUGCCUGUAAUCCCAGCUACUCGGGAGGCUGAGGCAGGACAAUCAUCUGAACCCGGGAGUGGAGGCUGCAGUGAGCUGAGAUGGCGCCACUGCACUCCAACCUGGGCGACAGGGCAAGACUCUGUCUCCAAAAAAAAGAUAAAAAAACCUGAGGGAAAUAAAUCUUUAUUUAAUUGCUGAAGAAAAGCUUCCAGAUUAUGUAAUUCCAGAAGCAUCUGAUCCUCGGGACCAUGAUGGCAGAAUGUACAAUUUUAAGUCUCUGUUAGUGUACUUCAAGAAAAUACCUCAAAUCACCUACUGUAGCAAAUAUCCUUAUACAAAUUUAUAUCAGUUGUGUGAAAACCUUUUAUGCAAAAAGGUUGCAUCUAAUCACAUUCUGUUACCUAGAGUAAUCUAUAGCAAAAAACUGCUGGUGGACCUAGGUAAAUGUCACACACAAGAGAUCAGUCAUGUUCUGAACCUUUAAAAUGUUCGCUGGCAUGAUUUUUGCUUAUUGUACUUAUCAGAGACCUACUUUUGGUGUUGAGAGCUAACACUGACACAUACACGCACACACAUGCACAGCCUUUAGAUUUCCUCUGUCCAAAACAUGAAAUCCCAAGAAAAAAUUAGGGGUUUAAUUAACAUUUACUCUACUGCUAUAAUACUUGGAACUAAAGUUAUAUUUAAGACUAUCUUUAGAACUAAAGUUAUGUAUUUUCUUAAGAAAA